CACUCCCUCACAGUGAGAACCAGCCACCGGUUGUGCCAUCCACUAUUUUCUUUGGUAAGAACCUUGUAAGAGCUUGGUUAGACGUAUGAAAAUGUGCAUGUCCACUGUCCAUAGUAGUUGAUAGGGAUAGUCCUCUGUAUUUUGCCUUGUUUUCUUGCGAACAGUAACAUGGACCGAAGACACUUAGCGUGUUCUACACAUAGUGAUAUAAAAGGUUACAUGGACCAGAUCCUAAGGGAGUGAACGAAGCAAUUCAGAAGGCAGCCAAUGAAGCUUUUGCCAAGCAAAGUAUAGAUCACUCUAUUGCUACUACAUCUACUCCUACAGGUCAUUCUCUCUUUCAUCCCUUCCAACUUAUGAUGGUGUAGGUGUUGAUGAGUAUGUUGAUUGGCAAAUUAAGAUUGAUAAUAUAUUUGCGCAAUGUAAUAUGUGUCAACAGAGGAAAAUUAAGAAUGCCACUACAAUUUUAAGAAAUUAUGCUUCAACUUGACGAGAGAACUUAAGUGAUUCGUAUAAACCUCGAACAUGGACGGAUAUGAAAAAUUUGAGAAAAUUUUUUGUUGAUCCAUCUCAAGUAUCUAAUUUCCAAGAUGAAGUGCAUCAAUAAGAAGAGUAGUCGCUUGUUGUAUCUCCCACUAUGCCUAACCUUUAGCACAAUAAUGCACAGCUGAAAGUGGAUUAAGCGAAAAAAAUGAGGUGCUUUCUUUCUCAUGUAAAAUUUUAGAACCAUCCACUCACAAUGCACCUAUGUUUACUACUGUACAUAUAACAAACGUAAAAAACUUUUUACUACACUCACGGAAGGUGAGAAUUAUUUUAGCGAGUUAAAUCUGUUCACCAAUCAUGUUAUUGUAGAGCAACUAUUAGUGAAAAAAUUCAGCGAUUUACCUUUAUCACAAGAUGGUUUGCUUGUCGUUACUUAUGAUAAAGAAGAGUUGUGUGAUAAUAAUUCAGUUAUUCCAAUUUCACAACUAGUUCAUGCUCAUGAUAUACUUUCUUUGGAGCCAUAUACUUGUACCAACAGUUAUGUGUUUUUUCCUAUUACUAGUGCACAUGAUGAACUCAAAUUGUUAUCUUCUUUAAAUACUUUAGGUUAUAUUGAAUUUGAUAUUAUGUGUAAUCUAAGUUGUUUGGAGGAGAGAUUUUUUGCACAUUUUGAAUUGUGAUAUUUGAAUAAAAUACAUAUCAUUUCAUUGGCAAAUAUAAUUCUAAAGGAGAAUAUAUAUGGUUCAUUCAGUUUAUUUAUGUUCAAAUUUGAAAUAUUCCUUGGUUGUGCAACAAUGUGAUCAUGUAGAGGGCUGCAAUAACACUAGUCAAGUUCCUCCAGUUUUGUUUUAAAGAACCAGAUUAAGUUACAAGAAGGGAAGCAUUGUUGGUUGUUACCUACUACAUCUUCUACAACUACAGUCAAACUAAGGACUGUUUGCUUUCAAGAAGGGGAAAAUGAUGAGGACAUGAUAAGGAACUAUGAAGAAGACCUAGAAGUGCUUAAAGAGAGGCAUUGAGGGCUCGAGGCAGAGAAGGCCAGCAAAGGUUGCCCAAGUCAAGUUGGAGGCCCAACACAUAUCAAGUUCAAGUCAACCUCGGAAUCUGGGAGCAGCCUGCACUAAAUUCGCCACCCAGAUCCCAUAUGGGCUCGAUUUUCAACAUUCUACAUAUCCAUGGAAACUGAGAAGACACACUUUCCAAUAGAACUAGUAUGAUGAAAAUUCCUUUAGGGUCAACAAGAAUCAUCAAAACAAGUGAACAUACAGAAUCUGCUAGGGUGUUGCGUCACGUUUUAUCGGGACUUAGGCUCUGUAGUUUUCUUGGGACCCAUGCCCAAGUUGAGAACCCGCACCUGAAGGAGAACACCCCAAGGGUGCCCUAGAUCAUCCUCCAUUUUGGCCACCACCCCUUUGCUAUAUAAACGCAGUAGCCGCUGCCCUAGAUGCUCGGGUUUUACUCAAAUUCAAUAUGUCUUUGAACAAUCGCCAUUCAUCGGUUUGUGAGACCCCAACUUCAUGUGCUUAAUCCAAAGUUUUUGCAAAUUGAGUUGCAUGCUUCCUUGAUCUUUCUUAUGUUCUUGAUUUGUAUGCAGGAGGUAGCCUUCAUGACAAGGUCAACUGGGUAGCGCAUAGUUGAUAACCAGAGGAGAAGUGGUGCUUCAAUUGCGGGGUUUAGGUUUUACUAAUCAGAAGCCGGAUGGAUUCGGUUACUACUCAACUAAAUCAAGAGUUACCUUCACUUGACAAAAGAUUGGGCACCCUAAUUCUCAUCACUAAGCAAAGAGCUACAACUAAUCCGUACGCUCAUGGAUCAUGGUUGGUUUCCAUAGGUGGCAUCAACAGAUGGAUAGAAGAGUAUAAGGAGAAGGGAUUCUAACUUGGAACAUGUGCAUGCAUGAGAGAUGGGAGGGGGGAGGGGUCGGCCGGCCUAAUAGGUUUGGCCGAACAUGGCUUGGCUCCAAACGGUCUCCUAUUAUACAUGCUCAGCGUGCAAGGCAUGGUCAUGUCAAGGAAAGCAAAGAAGAGAGCGGAAUUUUGUACAUAGCAUGCACAUUUUAUUUCUUACUCUAAGAAAGGAAACUAUUCGAUCUCCAACAAUUUGAUGAUGCCUAAGUCUUGAUCUAGUUUGGGUAUCUUAGGUUCAGGAAAGAUUUUCAACUGCUGGCCAUUUACCUUAAAGAGAUUUCUACUUUCAUCCUGAAGGGUGAAGGGCCCAUGGGAGUAUGAGUUUAUAACUUUAUAAGGGUUGUCCCACUUGCUUCUAUGUUUAACCCUACCAAAAAUCUAAAUGCAAGAGUUAAAUACAUGUACGUUGUCUGCUGGGGUGAACUCCUUGAUCUGGAUGCACUUGUCAUGCC
This 2845-nucleotide long non-coding RNA is filed under the name Setaria italica (foxtail millet). Its description in RNAcentral is "long non-coding RNA (SITA_LNC005143)". The record is from RNAcentral. Lineage: Eukaryota; Viridiplantae; Streptophyta; Magnoliopsida; Poales; Poaceae.